This 312-nucleotide ribosomal RNA is filed under the name uncultured bacterium. RNAcentral's name for it is "bacterial SSU rRNA". It matches the Rfam family "Bacterial small subunit ribosomal RNA", at positions 28 to 334 of the family's 1533-position model. The record is from RNAcentral.
GAUGAACGCUAGGGACAGGCCUAACACAUGCAAGUCGAGGGGCAGCACGAAGUAAGCUUGCUUACUUUGGUGGCGACCGGCGCACGGGUGCGUAACAGGUGUGCAAUCUGUCCAUAAUCGGGGAACAGCCCAGCGAAAGUUGGAUUAAUGCUCCAUGUGAGCUUGAGAGGCAUCUCUCGGGUUUGAAACGUAAGGAUUAUGGGUGAGCACGCUUCUGAUUAGGUAGUUGGUGAGGUAACGGCUCACCAAGCCGACGAUCAGUAGGGGUUCUGAGAGGAAGGUCCCCCACAUUGGAACUGAGACACGGUCCAA